RNAcentral lists this ribosomal RNA (301 nucleotides) under uncultured bacterium. Its description in RNAcentral is "partial 16S ribosomal RNA". It matches the Rfam family "Bacterial small subunit ribosomal RNA", at positions 509 to 809 of the family's 1533-position model. The record is from RNAcentral.
CAGCCGCCACGGUAAUACAGAGGGUGCGAGCGUUAAUCGGAUUUACUGGGCGUAAAGCGUGCGUAGGCGGCUUUUUAAGUCGGAUGUGAAAUCCCUGAGCUUAACUUAGGAAUUGCAUUCGAUACUGGGAAGCUAGAGUAUGGGAGAGGAUGGUAGAAUUCCAGGUGUAGCGGUGAAAUGCGUAGAGAUCUGGAGGAAUACCGAUGGCGAAGGCAGCCAUCUGGCCUAAUACUGACGCUGAGGUACGAAAGCAUGGGGAGCAAACAGGAUUAGAUACCCCAGUAGUCCCUGUCUUUAUACA